RNAcentral lists this ribosomal RNA (336 nucleotides) under uncultured bacterium. RNAcentral describes it as "partial 16S ribosomal RNA". It matches the Rfam family "Bacterial small subunit ribosomal RNA", at positions 338 to 691 of the family's 1533-position model. The record is from RNAcentral.
CCUACGGGUGGCAGCAGUAGGGAAUAUUGCUCAAUGGGGGAAACCCUGAAGCAGCAACGCCGCGUGGAGGAUGAAGGUUUUCGGAUUGUAAACUCCUUUUGUUAGAGAAGAGAAUGACGGUAGCGAACGAAUAAGCACCGGCUAACUCCGUGCCAGCAGCCGCGGUAAUACGGAGGGUGCAAGCGUUACUCGGAAUCACUGGGCGUCAAGAGCGCGUAGGCGGGAUUGCAAGUCAGCUGUGAAAUCCUAUGUCUGAACCCUAGAACUGCAUUUGAAACUGUUAUUCUAGAGUAUGGGAGAGGUAGCUGGAAUUCUUGGUGUCGGGGUUAAAUCCGU